AGAUAUUGAACUAUGCUUGGGCAGGGCGAAAUCAGGGAAAACAGUCGUGGAGUUCCAUAGCAAACCUGACAUGUAAAUCAGUCAUCUGGCCUGGAUACAGGAGCUAAAGACUAAUCCAUCUAGAAG
RNAcentral lists this non-coding RNA (126 nucleotides) under Chelonia mydas (Green sea turtle). RNAcentral's name for it is "Eukaryotic large subunit ribosomal RNA". It matches the Rfam family "Eukaryotic large subunit ribosomal RNA", at positions 821 to 950 of the family's 3401-position model. The record is from Rfam by way of RNAcentral. Lineage: Eukaryota; Metazoa; Chordata; Testudines; Cheloniidae.